AAAAACGGCAAAUCCGUCGAAAGGCGGAGACGCAAAGCCACCGAUCUAAGGGAUUUCGAAUCCUAAGACAGCGGGGUUGCCA
Molecule: non-coding RNA, 82 nt
Filed under: marine eukaryotic metagenome
Description: Cyclic di-GMP-I riboswitch
Rfam family: c-di-GMP-I riboswitch aptamer
About the family: GEMM was predicted in a large-scale screen for bacterial structured RNA regulatory elements.
Source: RNAcentral